ACAGAGGCGGCAAGCGUUGUUCGGAAUUAUUGGGCGUAAAGCGCAUGUAGGCGUCUCUGUCCUUCGGUUGUGAAAGCCUUCCGCUUAACGGAAGAAUGGCGGUCGAAACUGCAUGGCUUGAGUGCGGGAGGGGAGAGUGGGACUUCUGGUGGAGCGGUGAAAUGCGUAGAUAUCAGAAGGAACGGCGGCGGCGAAAGCGACUCUCUAGACCGUAACUGACGCUGAGUGUGCGAAAGCUAGGGGAGCAAACGG
This 252-nucleotide ribosomal RNA is filed under the name uncultured prokaryote. RNAcentral's name for it is "partial 16S ribosomal RNA". It matches the Rfam family "Bacterial small subunit ribosomal RNA", at positions 525 to 775 of the family's 1533-position model. The record is from RNAcentral.